This 173-nucleotide ribosomal RNA is filed under the name uncultured bacterium. RNAcentral's name for it is "partial 16S ribosomal RNA". It matches the Rfam family "Bacterial small subunit ribosomal RNA", at positions 337 to 525 of the family's 1533-position model. The record is from RNAcentral.
UCCUACGGGAGGCAGCAGUGGGGAAUAUUGCACAAUGGGGGAAACCCUGAUGCAGCAACGCCGCGUGAAGGAUGAAGGUUUUCGGAUUGUAAACUUCUUUAGUCGGGGACGAAUAAAUGACGGUACCCGAAGAAUAAGCCACGGCUAACUACGUGCCAGCAGCCGCGGUAAUA